RNAcentral lists this small RNA (697 nucleotides) under Pongo abelii (Sumatran orangutan). RNAcentral's name for it is "processed transcript". Lineage: Eukaryota; Metazoa; Chordata; Mammalia; Primates; Hominidae. The record is from RNAcentral.
ACUGAGAUUUGGGGCUUCCACCCCUUGACAGCAGCUGAACCUUAGCCGGCCGAUCGAGGAGCAGGGCCCCCUGGACGUCAUCAUCCACAAGCUGACCGACGUCAUCCUUGAAGCCGACCAGAAUGAUAGCCAGUCCCUGGAGCUGGUGCACAGGUUCCAGACGACAGGAUCUGCUCGCCACCCUUCAUGGAGCUCACGAGCCUGUGCGGGGAUGACGCCAUGCAGCUGCUGGAGAAGAACGGCUUGGCUUUCCCAUUCAUUUGCAAAACCAGAGUGGCUCAUGGCACCAACUCUCACGAGAUGGCUAUCGUGUUCAACCAGGAGGGCCUGAACGCCAUCCAGCCACCCUGCGUGGUCCAGAAUUUCAUCAACCACAAUGCCGUCCUGUACAAGGUGUUCGUGGUUGGCGAGUCCUACACCGUGGUCCAGAGGCCCUCGCUCAAGAACUUCUCCGCAGGCACAUCAGACCGUGAGUCCAUCUUCUUCAACAGCCACAAUGUGUCAAAGCCGGAGUCGUCAUCGGUCCUGACGGAGCUGGACAAGAUCGAGGGCGUGUUCGAGCGGCCGAGCGACGAGGUCAUCCGGGAGCUCUCCCGGGCCCUACGGCAGGCACUGGGCGUGUCACUCUUCGGCAUCGACAUCAUCAUCAACAACCAGACAGGGCAGCACGCCGUCAUUGACAUCAAUGCCUUCCCAG